Molecule: ribosomal RNA, 482 nt
Filed under: uncultured bacterium
Lineage: Bacteria
Description: partial 16S ribosomal RNA
Rfam family: Bacterial small subunit ribosomal RNA
Source: RNAcentral
GACGAACGCUGGCGGCGUGCUUAACACAUGCAAGUCGAACGAUGAAGAAGAGCUUGCUCUUCGGAUUAGUGGCGAACGGGUGAGUAACACGUGACUAACCUGCCCCUUUCUCUGGGAUAACGCUCCGAAAGGAGUGCUAAUACCGGAUACUCACAUCGAGGCACAUGCCUUGAUGUGGAAAGUUUUUCGGAAAGGGAUGGAGUCGCGGCCUCUCAGCUUGUUGGUGAGGUAACGGCUCACCAAGGCGACGACGGGUAGCCGGCCUGGGAGGGCGACCGGCCACACUGGGACUGAGACACGGCCCAGACUCCUACGGGAGGCAGCAGUGGGGAAUAUUGCACAAUGGGCGAAAGCCUGAUGCAGCGACGCCGCGUGAGGGAUGAAGGUCUUCGGAUUGUAAACCUCUUUCAGUAGGGACGAAGCGAAAGUGACGGUACCUAAAGAAGAAGCACCGGCUAACUACGUGCCAGCAGCCGCCGUAA